GGACUGUAACUGACGGCUGAGGAAAAGCGUGGGGAGCAAAAGGAUUAGAUAGGUAGUCCACGCCGUAAACGAUGAGUACUAGGUGUCGGGGGUUACCCCCCUCGGUGCCGCAGCUAACGCAUUAAGUACUCCGCCUGGGAAGUACGCUCGCAAGAGUGAGACUCAAAGGAAUUGACGGGGACCCGCACAAGUAGCGGAGCAUGUGGUUUAAUUCGAAGCAACGCGAAGAACCUUACCUAAGCUUGACAUCCCACUGACCUCUCCCUAAUCGGAGAUUUCCCUUCGGGGACAGUGGUGACAGGUGGUGCAUGGUUGUCGUCAGCUCGUGUCGUGAGAUGUUGGGUUAAGUCCCGCAACGAGCGCAACCCUUGCCUUUAGUUGCCAGCAUUAAGUUGGGCACUCUAGAGGGACUGCCGAGGAUAACUCGGAGGAAGGUGGGGAUGACGUCAAAUCAUCAUGCCCCUUAUGCUUAGGGCUACACACGUGCUACAAUGGGUGGUACAGAGGGUUGCCAAGCCGCGAGGUGGAGCUAAUCCCUUAAAGCCAUUCUCAGUUCGGAUUGUAGGCUGAAACUCGCCUACAUGAAGCUGGAGUUACUAGUAAUCGCAGAUCAGAAUGCUGCGGUGAAUGCGUUCCCGGGUCUUGUACACACCGCCCGUCACACCACGGGAGUUGGGGGCGCCCGAAGCCGGUUAGCUAACCUUUUAGGAAGCGGCCGUCGAAGGUGAAACCAAUAACUGGGGUGAAGUCGUAACAAGGUAGCCGUAAUCUAG
RNAcentral lists this ribosomal RNA (773 nucleotides) under uncultured Clostridium sp. RNAcentral's name for it is "bacterial SSU rRNA". It matches the Rfam family "Bacterial small subunit ribosomal RNA", at positions 731 to 1510 of the family's 1533-position model. The record is from RNAcentral. Lineage: Bacteria; Bacillati; Bacillota; Clostridia; Eubacteriales; Clostridiaceae.